UAAACCGGAGGAAGGUGGGGACGACGUCAAGUCAUCAUGGCCCUUACGAGUAGGGCUACACACGUGCUACAAUGGCGCAUACAGAGGGCGGCCAACUUGCGAAAGUGAGCGAAUCCCAAAAAGUGCGGCGUAGUCCGGAUUGGAGUCUGCAACUCGACUCCAUGAAGUCGGAAUCGCUAGUAAUCGUGGAUCAGAAUGCCACGGUGAAUACGUUCCC
This 217-nucleotide ribosomal RNA is filed under the name Vibrio parahaemolyticus. RNAcentral describes it as "partial 16S ribosomal RNA". It matches the Rfam family "Bacterial small subunit ribosomal RNA", at positions 1159 to 1375 of the family's 1533-position model. Lineage: Bacteria; Pseudomonadati; Pseudomonadota; Gammaproteobacteria; Vibrionales; Vibrionaceae. The record is from RNAcentral.